CAGCCGCCGCGGUAAUACGAAGGGGGCUAGCGUUGUUCGGAUUUACUGGGCGUAAAGCGCACGUAGGCGGAUCGAUCAGUCAGGGGUGAAAUCCUGGAGCUCAACUCCAGAACUGCCUUUGAUACUGUCGAUCUCGAGUCCGGAAGAGGUGAGUGGAACUCCUAGUGUAGAGGUGGAAUUCGUAGAUAUUAGGAAGAACACCAGUGGCGAGGCGGCUCACUGGUCCGGUACUGACGCUGAGGUGCGAAAGCGUGGGGAGCAAACAGGAUUAGAUACCCCCGUAGUCCCUGUCUCUUAUACA
This 301-nucleotide ribosomal RNA is filed under the name uncultured bacterium. RNAcentral's name for it is "partial 16S ribosomal RNA". It matches the Rfam family "Bacterial small subunit ribosomal RNA", at positions 509 to 808 of the family's 1533-position model. The record is from RNAcentral.